GCUGCAUAACAUUCCCAACGAGAGCUCUACUAGCUUUGGAGUGCAUCUCACAAACUUUAUGCCGCCUAUGGUAGUCUUUAGCUUUACUUAGAUCGGUCCCACAAUCAUCAACCUGACAUACAGCUCUUGUAGUACCAGUAACAGGUGCAGGUGCAGGUGCAGCAGCAGCCAAUUUUGUCCUUUUUUCAGCUACAGGCUCAGCUUGUCCACCAAGCUUCAACGAAAGGGUCCCACCGGAAUCAUUUUCAUCAACGAUAAUCACCCUUCUCCUUUUCUCCAGUUCCCUCCUCUGUUGUUCUAUCCCAUGAUUUGUUUCGUCUGAACAGGAAGAUGAACUGUUGGAUGAAGCCACCAGAUUCCCAGUUUCGACUGGAAAAAACUGCCUGCUCUGGUAAUUAUUAGAAGGGUUUUGACGAAGAGGAGUCGCAAUAAAAAGAUCUCCGUCCCAUUUCCAAUCAGUUACAUCCCACUCUAAGCUCCUCUUCCCUAAUCCUCGCAGAUCCGGUCCUCCCAUAUGGUAAUAACGCUCUCCCACACUCGCUUCCAUCUAAGCUCCUUUUUGUGUGUGUGCACGCGCGCGUUUGAAGAUCUAAAUCCGGAGAUUUAGGUGAUUGAUGAUCGGACAAGUUUGAAUAACAGAUCAAAAGUCAAAAUUGAGAAGAAAUAAAAAAGAAGAAAGAUGAGAACUAAUCACUAAUCAGCUUCGGUACGACCCCAAAAGUCGAGUACAAAGAGAUGACAACCAUGAUACCGAUUAACAGCAAGCCACAUACCCACACCUAAUUUCAGCGUUGACUAAGGAAAAGACUCGUGAAUUUGAAGCAUCUAGAACCGGAAAUCAGAUAAUUUAGCUCAACAAAGAAGAAAGAACUUCUUUCCGGCGGUCAGGAAACGGCGGGAAGAAGGGGACGGCGGCGACCGACGGUGAAGAAAGGACAAAGGAAGGUGGUUAGGGAGUUGGGAGGUGGGAGGUGGGGGA
This 979-nucleotide long non-coding RNA is filed under the name Nicotiana tabacum (common tobacco). RNAcentral describes it as "long non-coding RNA (NTAB_LNC002341)". Lineage: Eukaryota; Viridiplantae; Streptophyta; Magnoliopsida; Solanales; Solanaceae. The record is from RNAcentral.